Molecule: ribosomal RNA, 468 nt
Filed under: uncultured bacterium
Lineage: Bacteria
Description: partial 16S ribosomal RNA
Rfam family: Bacterial small subunit ribosomal RNA
Source: RNAcentral
GACGAACGCUGGCGGCGUGCUUAACACAUGCAAGUCGAACGGAAAGGCCCUGCUUUUGUGGGGUGCUCGAGUGGCGAACGGGUGAGUAACACGUGAGUAACCUGCCCUUGACUUUGGGAUAACUUCAGGAAACUGGGGCUAAUACCGGAUAGGAGCUCCUGCUGCAUGGUGGGGGUUGGAAAGUUUCGGCGGUUGGGGAUGGACUCGCGGCUUAUCAGCUUGUUGGUGGGGUAGUGGCUUACCAAGGCUUUGACGGGUAGCCGGCCUGAGAGGGUGACCGGACACAUUGGGACGGAGAUACGGCCCAGACCCGUACGGGAGGCAGCAGUGGGGAAGAUGGCACAAUGGGCGGAAGCAUGAUGCAGCAACGCCGCGUGCGGGAGGACGGCCUUCGGGUUGUAUACCGCUUUCGCCUGUGACGAAGCGUGAGUGACGGUAACUGGUAAAGAAGCACCGGCUAACUACGUG